CCCUUAGAUGUUCUGGGCCGCACGCGCGCUACACUGUUCGACGCAGCGAGUCUUAACCUUGACCGAAAGGUUUGGGUAAUCUUCAGCAAAGUCGAACGUGAUGGGGAUCGAUCAUUGCAAUUAUUGAUCGUGAACGAGGAAUUCCUAGUAAGUGCAAGUCAUCAGCUUGCGCUGAUUACGUCCCCGCCCUUUGUACACACCGCCCGUCGCUACUACCGAUUGAAUGGUUUAGUGAGAUCUCUGGAUUGACGCUGGCUAGGGGGCGACCCUUGGCCAGACUGCUCGAGAAACUGCUCAAACUUGAUCAUUUAGAGGAAGUAAAAGUCGUAACA
Molecule: ribosomal RNA, 332 nt
Filed under: uncultured eukaryote
Lineage: Eukaryota
Description: partial 18S ribosomal RNA
Rfam family: Eukaryotic small subunit ribosomal RNA
Source: RNAcentral